This is a non-coding RNA of Youngiibacter fragilis 232.1, 92 nucleotides long. NCBI's taxonomy places the organism in Bacteria, Bacillati, Bacillota, Clostridia, Eubacteriales, Clostridiaceae. The record is from Rfam.
GGACGAAACUCUGGAGAGCCUCAAUUGAGCACCGAAGGAGCAAGCCGGGAAAUCCCGGCGAAUCUCUCAGGUAAAAGGACAGAGCAGAUCUA